This 357-nucleotide long non-coding RNA is filed under the name Rattus norvegicus (Norway rat). RNAcentral describes it as "long non-coding RNA NONRATT016136". Lineage: Eukaryota; Metazoa; Chordata; Mammalia; Rodentia; Muridae. The record is from RNAcentral.
GCCGUAUUGGAUUUGAGCCUGGCUGCUCUGUGACUGUAUGGCUCAAAGUGGCUACGUGACUCUUGGCUGCAUGGCCACAGAUGUUCAACCUUGAAAUGACUGCCAUAAGUCUUGAGAGUGUUGGACAAAAGCCUCUCCCAUGAAUUUAUGGCACAGAAAGAUAACUUUCACAGGAUGUUUCAGCCUGAACAAACACCAGACGUCUCCGGCGUCUCCAUCCAUGACCUCUUCACCUUCUGCUCUCGCUGCUAUGCCCUCCUCCCUCCAUCCUUUGUGUUUCACAAAGGACACUCCCCCUACCUGAAAGCCUUAAAAGCUGUAAUGUUCACCCCAAUAAAUGAGACCUUGACAACAGAA